CCUACGGGAGGCAGCAGUGGGGAAUAUUGCACAAUGGGGGAAACCCUGAUGCAGCGACGCCGCGUGAGUGAAGAAGUAAUUCGUUAUGUAAAGCUCUAUCAGCAGGGAAGAAAAUGACGGUACCUGAGUAAGAAGCCCCGGCUAACUACGUGCCAGCAGCCGCGGUAAUACGUAGGGGGCAAGCGUUAUCCGGAAUUACUGGGCGUAAGGCGCUCGUAGGCGGGAUGUCAAGUCAAGGGUGAAAUCCUCGGGCUCAACGUGGGAACUGCCUUUGAAACUGGCAAACUGGAGUGUGUGAGAGGAUAGUGGAAUUCCAGGUGUAGGAGUGAAAUGCGUAGAUAUCAGGAAGAACAUCAGUGGCGAAGGCGACUAUCUGGCACAUAACUGACGCUGAGGAGCGAAAGCGUGGGUAGCAAACAGGAUUAGAUACCCCUGUAGUC
Molecule: ribosomal RNA, 440 nt
Filed under: uncultured bacterium
Lineage: Bacteria
Description: partial 16S ribosomal RNA
Rfam family: Bacterial small subunit ribosomal RNA
Source: RNAcentral